Molecule: small nuclear RNA, 228 nt
Filed under: Phalacrocorax carbo (great cormorant)
Lineage: Eukaryota; Metazoa; Chordata; Aves; Suliformes; Phalacrocoracidae
Description: 7SK RNA
Rfam family: 7SK RNA
About the family: 7SK was discovered as an abundant small nuclear RNA in the mid-70s but a possible function has only recently been suggested. Two independent studies have found that 7SK RNA binds the CDK9/cyclin T complex (known as elongation factor P-TEFb).
Source: Rfam by way of RNAcentral
CCGCUCCAUGUGCGUCCCUCCCGAAGCUGCGCGCUCGGUCGAAGAGGACGACCUUCCCCGAUAGAGGCGUACCGUUCAUCGGUCCAAGGGUAUACGGUAGCUGCGCUCCCCUGCUAGAACCUCCAAACAAGCUCAAGGUCCAUUUGUAGGAGAACGUAGGGUAGUCAAGCUUCCAAGACUGCAGACACAUCCAAGUGAGGCACUGCAUGGGGCAGUCUGCCAUUGUUU